GGGGGGGGGAGCCGGGGGAAGAGCCCUGGCUCCGAGGAACGCGUUUGGUUGUGUGGGGGGUUUUUUUUUUUGGUAUAUGUUUUCUUUCUUCCCCCCCCCCCGAUGACAACGCUGAGCUGCUCCCAGCUCCGGACGGCCCAAGGAUCUUUGGAGGGGACCUAAUAUCUGCUGUGUGCAGCUAAUGAAGAAGUCACGGGCGCUGCCGCGUGAUCUUUCGUCUGAAUGAAACACGGGAGGAGCCUGAGCAAGCGCAGUUUGCUGCUCUGUUCAUCAUACCCGUGACGUCGCAUGCAGACUGACGCCAGGGUCUUCAGCAAGGAUCAAACCUUUCAAGACCAAAAGCACGGGCCGACACCACUUCUGCUGCCGGCCGCCUCCAGCUGGCGAGCCCCCCGGGGUCUGCGGGACUUGGCCGGCAGAGGGAGGCACGAGCAGUUUGACAGCCCGGCAGGAGCUAACGGGAAGGUGUGCACUGAAUGCUGA
RNAcentral lists this long non-coding RNA (483 nucleotides) under Struthio camelus australis. RNAcentral's name for it is "lncRNA (ENSSCUG00000013784.1)". The record is from RNAcentral. Lineage: Eukaryota; Metazoa; Chordata; Aves; Struthioniformes; Struthionidae.